This is a long non-coding RNA of Lactuca sativa (garden lettuce), 2587 nucleotides long. RefSeq lists it as uncharacterized. The record is from RefSeq and is a predicted model, not a curated record. Lineage: Eukaryota; Viridiplantae; Streptophyta; Magnoliopsida; Asterales; Asteraceae.
UGACGUUUUGGUGUUACUGUUGUCAUCACACCGCUAUUCCCUCCAAUCAUAUGGAUAUUCGAUAUUGGAUUGUCUUCCUUCAUACGGUAUCAAGGUGUUCUAGAAAAUUAAAACCCUCCACCGUUUAAUCCAUCAUAUCGCCGAUUUCACGCACCUCUUCACUUUCUAAUAUACGGUUAGGGCUCGAUGGAUUUCAUUCAAGUUUUGAUUUCCUGUUUGCUACCUACUAUUCUUGCGUGUUGAUUCCUGAAUGCAUCCAGCUUUUCUUUGGAGUCGAUGUUACCACUACAUUCAAUUCCUUAUCCCUUUUAUUCUUCUUUUGUAUUUCACUCAAAUUUUUGUAGCAAUUUAAUUUUGUCCACUUUUAUUCUUUUUGAAGUUCUUUGUCUGUAAGUUAUUGAUAUGCUAAAAAUUGAACAAAAACGAAGCUUUCCUUUCGUUAAUUGUUGCUUUGCUUCUGAUUUUAGGGCUAAUAUAGUUAAAUUAUGAGAUUUAAAAAAAACACACCCAUACGUAGAUUAUGAGAUUAAGUCGUUUCUCUAUUAAACAUCAAGUGAUGAUGUCAGAUAGAAUUAAACAUCUUUUAUUGCAUUUCUUUUGUGCUUUGUUAACAUACUUUUGUAAUGAUUUUAUUAGUUUACACGUCACCUUGGUUUUCCAACACACAGAAUUUGAUACAUGGAGAUUCUGGAACUUAUUUUUAAGCUUCGACGAUAACUGUUUAUUAUCUUCUAGGUGUUAAAUUGUUUUAGAAUAAACCAUCAUAACAAAUAAUCACUUUUUUAUUGGUUGGAUGUAAUGGAAUGAAAGUGGAAAUAAAUAAGCAAGAUAAUUAAAUGACUCAUCACGUUUUAUGAACAUAUUUAGUUCUUAGAUUAUUUCUUGACACAAAGAUAUUGACUGUUAAUAAUAAAAGGGUAUUGUAAGUAAUAAGAAGAAAUGAAAGUAUGAUGCUAUGUAAAACAUAUCAACAAAAGUACUUUGCUACUUUUUGAUUAUUUUUGUUUCAUUGUCACAUUUAUGUGUUUAUGAAGGUGUGUAGCUUGAAAAACCCGCUGUCCGAUAUUGAAUUUACAGGUAACCUUGAUAAAGGAAGAGUUUUGAAGGCCGUUUGUUAUUAUUGUGGGUAAAAGAUAAAGUCUAUUGAUUAUAUUGAUAAAAAGAAAAAGUAAGUUUUUAUUUCUUGCAAUUUACCUAUUUUAAAAAGAGCAGACAUUUUUUGAAUUUAUGGUAGAUAAAGGAUGAUGGGGUUUGCAUAAAAAUGAUUAUAUACUUUUGUAUCUAUACAAUUUUUUUUUUUUUUUUUGACUAUUUUGUUAAAUCAUGUGAAUUUUUAACUUUAAAACUUUUUCCUGAUGGCUUUGAUUCUUCCUUGAUUUAAGAACUGUGAUUAGAUAGGGGGACGCCCGGGUUAAUAUUGACAUUGUCGUUUAAAACUUGGAUUAUGUUACUGUGAUUUUUACAUUAAAUUAGGAUAAAAAUGAAAGCAUGUUGUUAUUAUGUAAAAAAAAAAGGAAAAAAAAUCCAACCCGAUACAAACCCGCGUCAAUGUUGUUGGUGGGCUUCCUCUAGUUAAUAUAAACACAAAAACAAAUUGUGAUAACACUUUAAGAUUAAACCGCAAGGAAAAAUGAAACUUCAACAAAAAAAUUAUUGUCAAAAAUUGAUCACUCACAAAAUAUUUUUGAAUUAGAUUUAAAUAAAAAAUCAAUCACUCACAAUUUUUUUGGAAUUAGAUUUAAAAUAUUAAUAACAUUAUAUGUUGUGAAUGAGGAAUUCUUUUUAUUCCAUGGGUCGGUAAAUAAAUAAUAACAGUAUAAUAACAAUAAUCGUAAAAAACAAAUUUAGACACUCAUUAAAAUCCCAUGUUGGUAGGUAAAUGAAAAAAUAGUCAGAGGUGUGUUUAGAAGUGUAUUUUAACGUGCUUUUGAUAAAAACUGGUUAUUGGCUUAUGGUUUUUUUAAAAAAAAUAUGUUUAAAAAGUGUUAUAGGUUAGUUUUUGUGAUGAGAAAAGUAAAAAAAAGUCAAUAAGUUGGUUUUAAAAAGUGUUUUUUUAGCUUUUUAGAAGUAAAAAUGGUAAAAAGAAAGUUAACAAACUAUAAAUCAUCAAAAAAUUAGGAUUUUGUGGUUUUUUGAAAUUCUCUUAUUUUGCAUAUCAAAAAAAGUUGUUUGAACAACAUUUGGAACAACCCAAAUCCCAAACACAAACUCAAUAUAGGCCAUUCAAAUUUGGAGAGAGACAAAUGACGUGCAAAUCUUCACGACCUAAUUUCAACUCCAUGAAAUAAAACAUUUUUCUCUUGUUUAGGACAUCCUAGCCGCUGACUGCUUUGAACGACGCUGGUAACUUUGGUCCGACGGAGCAACAACGAAGGUCGUCUUUCCCUUUUUUGCUCUCUCUUUAUGUUCUCAAUCUGGAUGGUGGUUACCGGCCGAAAGUAGGUCGUCGGCGGUAGGCCUCCGACUGUGAUGAUGUUAGGUUUCAUAAUUUUUUUAAACUUUAUUUUUGCUUUGAUUUUUUUAACACAAGCUUCAACUAUUUAUUUAUUUUAUUUUUUUAGAUUUUAUAUAAAAAAGUUGUAUUAAA